Molecule: non-coding RNA, 927 nt
Filed under: Oreocryptophis porphyraceus (black-banded trinket snake)
Lineage: Eukaryota; Metazoa; Chordata; Lepidosauria; Squamata; Colubridae
Source: RNAcentral
CACAAGGUCUUGGUCUUAAACCCCUUAUUACUUACAUCCCUAAUUAUACAUGCAAGCCUCACCACUACAGUGAAACAGCCCACCACACCGGUCGGAGCAGGUAUCAGGCAAUAAAGCCUACAACACCAAGCAAAACCAGCCACACCCCCACGGGUCCACAGCAGUAGAUAAUAUUAGGCUAUAAGCGCAAGCUUGACCUAGCAAGGGACUUUUAGGGCCGGUUAAUCUCCGUGCCAGCGACCGCGGUUAUACGACAGACCCAAGAUAAUACUAACGGCGUAAAGCACGACUAAUAAUAGGUCUAAACAUUAGGAACGAAGCCACACUGGGCUGUAAAAAGCCAUAAGUCGCACUAACCACACCCUAAUAACAAACAACUCCCACUCGUGAAAGCUAGGGUACAAACUAAGAUUAGAUACCUUACUAUGCCUAACCAUAACACAACAAUUAAAUCACCCAUUGUUCGCCAAAUAACUACGAGUAAAAACUUAAAAUUUAAAAGACUUGACGGUACCUCAUAACAACCUAGAGGAGCCUGUCUAAUAACCGAUACCCCACGAUCAACCCAACCCACUCUAGCCUAACAGUCUAUAUACCGCCGUCGCCAGCCUACCUUGUGAAAGAAACAAAGUGAGCCUAAUAAUCACACACUAACACGACAGGUCGAGGUGUAACUCAUGGGUGGGCCUAAGAUGGGCUACAUUUUCUAAUACAGAAAAUACGAAUUUUUAGCUAUGAAAAAGAAACUGAAGGCGGAUUUAAUAGUACACUGAGGACAACAUGCUCAGUCGAAACUAACGCAAUGAGGUGCGUACACACCGCCCGUCAUCCCUGUUAAUAAACCAAUAAAAAUACAUAAAACAAACUUCCACCUUUAAGCAGGGCAAGUCGUAACAUGGUAAGCGUACUGGAAAGUGCGCUUAGAAA